AGUCGAGGGGAAACGGCAUCGAGCGCUUGCGCCUGAUGGACGUCGACCGGCGCACGGGUGAGUAACGCGUAUCCAACCUGCCCCACACUAAGGGACAACCCGCAGAAAUGUGGGCUAAUACCUUAUAUUUUCCACCAAGGGCAUCGUCGAUGGAACAAAGAUUUAUCGGUAUGGGAUGGGGAUGCGUCCGAUUAGGUUGUUGGCGGGGUAACGGCCCACCAAGCCAUCGAUCGGUAGGGGUUCUGAGAGGAAGGUCCCCCACAUAGGAACUGAGACACGGUCCUAACUCCUACGGGAGGCAGCAGUGAGGAAUAUUGGUCAAUGGGCGGGAGCCUGAACCAGCCAAGUAGCGUGCAGGAAGACGGCCCUAUGGGUUGUAAACUGCUUUUAUGCGGGGAUAAAGGAGUCCACGUGUGGGCUUUUGCAGGUACCGCAUGAAUAAGGACCGGCUAAUUCCGUGCCAGCAGCCGCGGUAAUACGGAAGGUCCGGGCGUUAUCCGGAUUUAUUGGGUUUAAAGGGAGCGUAGGCCGCGUUUUAAGCGUGUUGUGAAAUGUAGGCGCCCAACGUCUGCAUCGCAGCGCGAACUGGAACGCUUGAGUACGCGCAACGCUGGCGGAAUUCGUCGUGUAGCGGUGAAAUGCUUAGAUAUGACGAAGAACUCCGAUUGCGAAGGCAGCUGACGGGAGCGGCACUGACGCUUAAGCUCGAAGGUGCGGGUAUCAAACAGGAUUAGAUACCCUGGUAGUCCGCACGGUAAACGAUGGAUGCUCGCUGUGUGCCUUUUGUGGUACGCGGCUAAGCGAAAGCGUUAAGCAUCCCACCUGGGGAGUACGCCGGCAACGGUGAAACU
This 851-nucleotide ribosomal RNA is filed under the name uncultured bacterium. RNAcentral's name for it is "bacterial SSU rRNA". It matches the Rfam family "Bacterial small subunit ribosomal RNA", at positions 60 to 901 of the family's 1533-position model. The record is from RNAcentral.